This 1337-nucleotide ribosomal RNA is filed under the name actinomycete P047.UGM050509-01. Its description in RNAcentral is "bacterial SSU rRNA". It matches the Rfam family "Bacterial small subunit ribosomal RNA", at positions 85 to 1433 of the family's 1533-position model. The record is from RNAcentral. Lineage: Bacteria; Bacillati; Actinomycetota; Actinomycetes; Actinomycetales.
GGGUACUCGAGUGGCGAACGGGUGAGUAACACGUGGGUGAUCUGCCCUGCACUUUGGGAUAAGCCUGGGAAACUGGGUCUAAUACCGAAUACACCUCGCUGGCCGCAUGGUCUGUGGGGGAAAGCUUUUGCGGUGUGGGAUGGGCCCGCGGCCUAUCAGCUUGUUGGUGGGGUGAUGGCCUACCAAGGCGACGACGGGUAGCCGGCCUGAGAGGGUGACCGGCCACACUGGGACUGAGAUACGGCCCAGACUCCUACGGGAGGCAGCAGUGGGGAAUAUUGCACAAUGGGCGCAAGCCUGAUGCAGCGACGCCGCGUGGGGGAUGACGGCCUUCGGGUUGUAAACCCCUUUCAGCACAGACGAAGCGCGAGUGACGGUAUGUGCAGAAGAAGGACCGGCCAACUACGUGCCAGCAGCCGCGGUAAUACGUAGGGUCCGAGCGUUGUCCGGAAUUACUGGGCGUAAAGAGCUCGUAGGUGGUUUGUCGCGUUGUUCGUGAAAACUCACAGCUCAACUGUGGGCGUGCGGGCGAUACGGGCAGACUAGAGUACUGCAGGGGAGACUGGAAUUCCUGGUGUAGCGGUGGAAUGCGCAGAUAUCAGGAGGAACACCGGUGGCGAAGGCGGGUCUCUGGGCAGUAACUGACGCUGAGGAGCGAAAGCGUGGGGAGCGAACAGGAUUAGAUACCCUGGUAGUCCACGCCGUAAACGGUGGGUACUAGGUGUGGGUUUCCUUCCUUGGGAUCCGUGCCGUAGCUAACGCAUUAAGUACCCCGCCUGGGGAGUACGGCCGCAAGGCUAAAACUCAAAGAAAUUGACGGGGGCCCGCACAAGCGGCGGAGCAUGUGGAUUAAUUCGAUGCAACGCGAAGAACCUUACCUGGGUUUGACAUGCACAGGACGCUGGUAGAGAUAUCAGUUCCCUUGUGGCCUGUGUGCAGGUGGUGCAUGGCUGUCGUCAGCUCGUGUCGUGAGAUGUUGGGUUAAGUCCCGCAACGAGCGCAACCCCUGUCUUAUGUUGCCAGCGCGUCAUGGCGGGGACUCGUAAGAGACUGCCGGGGUCAACUCGGAGGAAGGUGGGGAUGACGUCAAGUCAUCAUGCCCCUUAUGUCCAGGGCUUCACACAUGCUACAAUGGCCGGUACAAAGGGCUGCGAAGCCGUGAGGUGGAGCGAAUCCCUUGAAAGCCGGUCUCAGUUCGGAUUGGGGUCUGCAACUCGACCCCAUGAAGUCGGAGUCGCUAGUAAUCGCAGAUCAGCAACGCUGCGGUGAAUACGUUCCCGGGCCUUGUACACACCGCCCGUCACGUCAUGAAAGUCGGUAACACCCGAAGCCGGUGG